AGAGUUUGAUCCUGGCUCAGGACGAACGCUGGCGGCAUGCCUAACACAUGCAAGUCGAACGGACAUGGCGAGGAUAUAGCGAUAUAUUUUGAGCUAUGUUAGUGGCGAACGGGUGAGUAACACGUGAGCAACCUGCCCUUUACUACGGGAUAACGCUCGGAAACAGGCCGCUAAUACGGUAUAAGACCACACUAUGGCAUCAUAGAGCGGUAAAAGCGAUUUAGCGGUAAAGGAUGGGCUCGCGUCCAAUUAGCUGGUUGGUAGGGGUAACGGCCUACCAAGGCGACGAUUGGUAGCCGACCUGAGAGGGUGAUCGGCCACACUGGAACUGAGACACGGUCCAGACUCCUACGGGAGGCAGCAGUGGGGAAUAUUGGGCAAUGGAGGAAACUCUUACCCAGCAAUGCCGCGUGAGCGAAGAAGGUCUUCGGAUUGUAAAGCUCUUUGAU
RNAcentral lists this ribosomal RNA (449 nucleotides) under uncultured prokaryote. RNAcentral's name for it is "bacterial SSU rRNA". It matches the Rfam family "Bacterial small subunit ribosomal RNA", at positions 8 to 439 of the family's 1533-position model. The record is from RNAcentral.